GAUCAUGGUCAGGAUGAACGCUAGCUACAGGCUUAACACAUGCAAGUCGAGGGGCAGCAUGAUUGAAGCUUGCUUCAAUUGAUGGCGACCGGCGCACGGGUGAGUAACACGUAUCCAACCUGCCGAUAACUCGGGGAUAGCCUUUCGAAAGAAAGAUUAAUACCCGAUAGUAUAGUAUUUCCGCAUGGUUUCACUAUUAAAGAAUUUCGGUUAUCGAUGGGGAUGCGUUCCAUUAGAUAG
This 240-nucleotide ribosomal RNA is filed under the name uncultured bacterium. RNAcentral describes it as "partial 16S ribosomal RNA". It matches the Rfam family "Bacterial small subunit ribosomal RNA", at positions 15 to 248 of the family's 1533-position model. The record is from RNAcentral.